This 493-nucleotide ribosomal RNA is filed under the name uncultured bacterium. RNAcentral's name for it is "partial 16S ribosomal RNA". It matches the Rfam family "Bacterial small subunit ribosomal RNA", at positions 27 to 507 of the family's 1533-position model. The record is from RNAcentral.
GAGUGAACGCUGGCGGUAGGCCUAACACAUGCAAGUCGAACGGCAGCACAGUAAGAGCUUGCUCUUACGGGUGGCGAGUGGCGGACGGGUGAGGAAUACAUCGGAAUCUACUUUUUCGUGGGAGAUAACGUAGGGAAACUUACGCUAAUACCGCAUACGACCUACGGGUGAAAGCAGGGGAUCUUCGGACCUUGCGCGAUUGAAUGAGCCGAUGUCGGAUUAGCUAGUUGGCGGGGUAAAGGCCCACCAAGGCGACGAUCCGUAGCUGGUCUGAGAGGAUGAUCAGCCACACUGGAACUGAGACACGGUCCAGACUCCUACGGGAGGCAGCAGUGGGGAAUAUUGGACAAUGGGCGCAAGCCUGAUCCAGCCAUACCGCGUGGGUGAAGAAGGCCUUCGGGUUGUAAAGCCCUUUUGUUGGGAAAGAAAAGCAGCAGGUUAAUACCCCGCUGUUCUGACGGUACCCAAAGAAUAAGCACCGGCUAACUUCGUG